GAUGAAGAACGUAGCGAAAUGCGAUAAGUAGUGUGAAUUGCAGAAUUCAGUGAAUCAUCGAAUCUUUGAACGCACAUUGCGCCCCUUGGUAUCCCGAGGGGCAUGCCUGUUCGAGCGUCAUUUCACCACUCGAGCCUGGCUUGGUGUUGGGCGACGUCCCCUUUAGGGACGCGCCUCGAAACGCUCGGCGGCGCGGCACCGGCUUUAAGCGUAGCAGAAUCUUUCGCUUUGGAAGUCGGGGCCCCGCCUGCCGGAAUACCUACUUGUAAGGUCGACCUCGGAUCAGGCAGGGAUACCCGCUGAACUUAAGCAUAUCAAUAAGCGGAGGA
RNAcentral lists this unclassified non-coding RNA (329 nucleotides) under soil metagenome. Its description in RNAcentral is "partial contains 5.8S ribosomal RNA, internal transcribed spacer 2, and large subunit ribosomal RNA". The stretch from base 1 to 120 matches the Rfam family "5.8S ribosomal RNA", at positions 35 to 154 of the family's 154-position model. The record is from RNAcentral.